AGGGGGAUAACAGUUAGAAAUGACUGCUAAUACCGCAUAAGCGCACAGNACUGCAUGGUACAGUGUGAAAAAACUCCGGUGGUAUAAGAUGGACCCGCGUCUGAUUANCCAGUUGGCGGGGUAACGGCCCACCAAAGCGACNAUCAGUAGCCGACCUGAGAGGGUGACCGGCCACAUUGGGACUGAGACACGGCCCAAACUCCUACGGGAGGCAGCAGUGGGGAAUAUUGCACAAUGGGGGAAACCCUGAUGCAGCAACGCCGCGUGAGUGAAGAAGUAUUUCGGUAUGUAAAGCUCUAUCAGCAGGGAAGAAGAUGACGGUACCUGAUUAAGAAGCCCCGGCUAACUACGUGCCAGCAGCCGCGGUAAUACGUAGGGGGCAAGCGUUAUCCGGAUUUACUGGGUGUAAAGGGAGCGCANACGGCAGUGCAAGUCUGGAGUGAAAGCCCGGGGCCCAACCCCGGAACUGCUCUGGAAACUGUGCGGNUAGAGUACUGGAGGGGCAGGCGGAAUUCCUAGUGUAGCGGUGAAAUGCGUANAUAUUAGGAGGAACACCAGUGGCGAAGGCGGCCUGNUGGACGAUGACUGACGUUGAGGCUCGAAAGCGUGGGGAGCAAACAGGAUUAGAUACCCUGGUAGUCCACGCCGUAAACAAUGACUACUAGGGUGU
This 670-nucleotide ribosomal RNA is filed under the name uncultured bacterium. Its description in RNAcentral is "bacterial SSU rRNA". It matches the Rfam family "Bacterial small subunit ribosomal RNA", at positions 137 to 824 of the family's 1533-position model. The record is from RNAcentral.